GAUGAACGCUGGCGGCGUGCCUAAUACAUGCAAGUCGAGCGAACGGACGAGAAGCUUGCUUUUCUGAUGUUAGCGGCGGACGGGUGAGUAACACGUGGAUAACCUACCUAUAAGACUGGGAUAACUUCGGGAAACCGGAGCUAAUACCGGAUAAUAUUUUGAACCGCAUGGUUCAAAAGUGAAAGACGGUCUUGCUGUCACUUAUAGAUGGAUCCGCGCUGCAUUAGCUAGUUGGUAAGGUAACGGCUUACCAAGGCAACGAUGCAUAGCCGACCUGAGAGGGUGAUCGGCCACACUGGAACUGAGACACGGUCCAGACUCCUACGGGAGGCAGCAGUAGGGAAUCUUCCGCAAUGGGCGAAAGCCUGACGGAGCAACGCCGCGUGAGUGAUGAAGGUCUUCGGAUCGUAAAACUCUGUUAUUAGGGAAGAACAUAUGUGUAAGUAACUGUGCACAUCUUGACGGUACCUAAUCAGAAAGCCACGGCUAACUACGUGCCAGCAGCCGCGGUAAUACGUAGGUGGCAAGCGUUAUCCGGAAUUAUUGGGCGUAAAGCGCGCGUAGGCGGUUUUUUAAGUCUGAUGUGAAAGCCCACGGUUCAACCGUGGAGGGUCAUUGGAAACUGGAAAACUUGAGUGCAGAAGAGGAAAGUGGAAUUCCAUGUGUAGCGGUGAAAUGCGCAGAGAUAUGGAGGAACACCAGUGGCGAAGGCGACUUUCUGGUCUGUAACUGACGCUGAUGUGCGAAAGCGUGGGGAUCAAACAGGAUUAGAUACCCUGGUAGUCCACGCCGUAAACGAUGAGUGCUAAGUGUUAGGGGGUUUCCGCCCCUUAGUGCUGCAGCUAACGCAUUAAGCACUCCGCCUGGGGAGUACGACCGCAAGGUUGAAACUCAAAGGAAUUGACGGGGACCCGCACAAGCGGUGGAGCAUGUGGUUUAAUUCGAAGCAACGCGAAGAACCUUACCAAAUCUUGACAUCCUUUGACAACUCUAGAGAUAGAGCCUUCCCCUUCGGGGGACAAAGUGACAGGUGGUGCAUGGUUGUCGUCAGCUCGUGUCGUGAGAUGUUGGGUUAAGUCCCGCAACGAGCGCAACCCUUAAGCUUAGUUGCCAUCAUUAAGUUGGGCACUCUAAGUUGACUGCCGGUGACAAACCGGAGGAAGGUGGGGAUGACGUCAAAUCAUCAUGCCCCUUAUGAUUUGGGCUACACACGUGCUACAAUGGACAAUACAAAGGGCAGCGAAACCGCGAGGUCAAGCAAAUCCCAUAAAGUUGUUCUCAGUUCGGAUUGUAGUCUGCAACUCGACUACAUGAAGCUGGAAUCGCUAGUAAUCGUAGAUCAGCAUGCUACGGUGAAUACGUUCCCGGGUCU
Molecule: ribosomal RNA, 1372 nt
Filed under: uncultured bacterium
Lineage: Bacteria
Description: bacterial SSU rRNA
Rfam family: Bacterial small subunit ribosomal RNA
Source: RNAcentral